This 467-nucleotide ribosomal RNA is filed under the name uncultured bacterium. Its description in RNAcentral is "partial 16S ribosomal RNA". It matches the Rfam family "Bacterial small subunit ribosomal RNA", at positions 28 to 507 of the family's 1533-position model. The record is from RNAcentral.
GACGAACGCUGGCGGCGUGCUUAACACAUGCAAGUCGAACGGAAAGGCCUCUUUCGGGGGGUACUCGAGUGGCGAACGGGUGAGUAACACGUGAGUAACCUGCCCUUGACUUUGGGAUAACUUCAGGAAACUGGGGCUAAUACCGGAUAGGAGCUCCUGCUGCAUGGUGGGGGUUGGAAAGUUUCGGCGGUUGGGGAUGGACUCGCGGCUUAUCAGCUUGCUGGUGGGGUAGUGGCUUACUAAGGCUUUGACGGGUAGCCGGCCUGAGAGGGUGACCGGCCACAUUGGGACUGAGAUACGGCCCAGACUCCUACGGGAGGCAGCAGUGGGGAAUAUUGCACAAUGGGUGGAAGCCUGAUGCAGCAACGCCGUGUGCGGGAUGACGGCCUUCGGGUUGUAAACCGCUUUCGCUCAUGACGAAGCUUUGUGUGACGGUAGUGGGUAAAGAAGCACCGGCUAACUACGUG